CCUACGGGAGACUGCAGUGGGGAAUAUUGGGCAAUGGGCGCAAGCCUGACCCAGCAACGCCGCGUGAAGGAAGAAGGCUUUCGGGUUGUAAACUUCUUUUAAGAGGGAAGAGCAGAAGACGGUACCUCUUGAAUAAGCCACGGCUAACUACGUGCCAGCAGCCGCGGUAAUACGUAGGUGGCAAGCGUUGUCCGGAUUUACUGGGGGUAAAGGGCGUGCAGCCGGGAAGACAAGUCAGAUGUGAAAUCCCGCGGCUCAACCGCGGAACUGCAUUUGAAACUGUUUUUCUUGAGUACCGGAGAGGUCAUCGGAAUUCCUUGUGUAGCGGUGAAAUGCGUAGAUAUAAGGAAGAACACCAGUGGCGAAGGCGGAUGACUGGACGGCAACUGACGGUGAGGCGCGAAAGCGUGGGGAGCAAACAGGAUUAGAUACCCGGGUAGUC
This 442-nucleotide ribosomal RNA is filed under the name uncultured bacterium. Its description in RNAcentral is "partial 16S ribosomal RNA". It matches the Rfam family "Bacterial small subunit ribosomal RNA", at positions 338 to 795 of the family's 1533-position model. The record is from RNAcentral.